GCUUACGGCCAUACCACCCUGAGCACGCCCGAUCUCAUCUGAUCUCGGAAGCUAAGCAGUGUCAGGCCUGGUUAGUACUUGGAUGGGAGACCGCCUGGGAAUACCAGGUGCUGUAAGCU
This 119-nucleotide ribosomal RNA is filed under the name Betta splendens (Siamese fighting fish). Lineage: Eukaryota; Metazoa; Chordata; Actinopteri; Anabantiformes; Osphronemidae. The record is from RNAcentral.